Long non-coding RNA from Callithrix jacchus (white-tufted-ear marmoset), 932 nucleotides. RefSeq lists it as uncharacterized. NCBI's taxonomy places the organism in Eukaryota, Metazoa, Chordata, Mammalia, Primates, Cebidae. The record is from RefSeq and is a predicted model, not a curated record.
GCCAUGCUGGAGGACACUCACAGCUCUGUGAAGAGGCCCAUAUGGAGAGGAACUGAAACUUCCCAUCAACAAACAGCCCAUGCCAACUGGCCAAGCUAUAUAAGUGAGCCACCUGGGAAUCAGAGCCCUCAGCCCCAGUCAAGCCUUCAGAUGACUGCAGCCCAGCUGACAUCUGACUGCAACCAUAUGAGAGCCCCUGAGCCAGGACCAUCCAGCCAAGUUGCUCUGAACUCCUGACCCAGAGAAACCAUGAGAGAAAUAGCUAAAGUGCAACAGCAGGAUCUCCGAUCACUACAACCUCCGCCUUCCAGGUUCAAGUGAUUCUCCUGGAUCAUUCUCCCAAGUAGCUGGGAUUACAGAUGUCACAGACCGGCUGGGUUUCCAGCAAGAUCCCAGACCAUACACAACCCACCCAGGGUGAAAAGGUGAAAUUAGCUCCAGGAAUAAAAGAAGAUGGCUCCCUUCCUGCUUUCUGCUACCUGAAACAGAGAUGUGACGACCGGAGCUACUGCUGCUAUCUUGGACCAAGAAGUAACCUUGACGUUCCAUGCCAAGGAUGGUGAAGGAGAAAGAUAGACGUCUUAAUGACAUUGUGGAGCCAUCAAAACAACAGCGGCCUGGCCCACCUCCAGAUGUUUUGUUUUUCACAUAGGAGAAAAACUUCUAUUUCUUUUUUUACUUGAAAGCCCCCAGUGGGGAAGGGGGGAGAAACUUCUCUCUUACCUAAGCCACUAUUGUUCAGGGAAUUCUGUGUAAGCAGCUGCACCAAAUACUACCUGAAGUAGAAGGAUCCUGCCUCAUUUUCUUUUUGUAAGAGCUACGUGAAAGAACAUAUGUAAAACUCUUAGUGCCCUUCCAAGCACACAGUAAGUCUCAGUAUUGUUAAUUCUUACUUUUAAGUGAUUGAGCAGGUCAGAGAUUAGAAUGAUACA